Molecule: ribosomal RNA, 426 nt
Filed under: Triticum aestivum (bread wheat)
Lineage: Eukaryota; Viridiplantae; Streptophyta; Magnoliopsida; Poales; Poaceae
Description: partial small subunit ribosomal RNA
Source: RNAcentral
AUGCCUUACGAUGAGCGGUACACACCGUGCAUCAAGCAGGCAGGACUACUCCCGUGGAUUCUGUUGGUCAGCCAGUCCACGCCGAAUCUGAACGCUCCACUGGUGUCCGCUCUUGUUGAUCGGUGGAGGACAGAGACACACAGUUUCCAUCUUCGGACCGGGGAGAUGACUGUGACGCUCGAGGAUGUCUCGUUGAUCACCGGUCUUGCUAUCGAUUGGAGGCCUAUCUGUAUGAGCACCGAUUCUGAUAGGUGGCGCGAGCAGAUGAUUGCUCUUAUCGGUAUGGCUCCUACCGAGGCUGAGGCUAAUGUAGAGGAGGGAGAAGAGAAGAAGAAGAGGGAAAGGAAAGCAGCCAGAGAUGCUUUCACGUGGAUUCAAAAUAACUUUGUGACGUGCCCUUCGGAUGCCACUGAUGAUUUGAUCUAG